This 402-nucleotide ribosomal RNA is filed under the name uncultured bacterium. RNAcentral's name for it is "bacterial SSU rRNA". It matches the Rfam family "Bacterial small subunit ribosomal RNA", at positions 355 to 774 of the family's 1533-position model. The record is from RNAcentral.
UAGGGAAUAUUGGACAAUGGGGGAAACCCUGAUCCAGCCAUGCCGCGUGAGUGAAGAAGGCCUUAGGGUUGUAAAGCUCUUUCGCCCGCGACGAUGAUGACGGUAGCGGGAGAAGAAGCCCCGGCUAACUCCGUGCCAGCAGCCGCGGUAAUACGGAGGGGGCUAGCGUUGUCCGGAAUUACUGGGCGUAAAGCGCGCGUAGGCGGUCCACCAAGUCGGGGGUGAAAGCCCGGGGCUCAACCCCGGAAUGUCCUCCGAGACUGUUGGACUGGAGUUCGGGAGAGGAGAGCGGAAUUCCCAGUGUAGAGGUGAAAUUCGUAGAUAUUGGGAAGAACACCGGUGGCGAAGGCGGCUCUCUGGCCCGCAACUGACGCUGAGGCGCGAAAGCGUGGGGAGCAAACA